RNAcentral lists this ribosomal RNA (1633 nucleotides) under Papulosa amerospora. RNAcentral's name for it is "eukaryotic LSU rRNA". It matches the Rfam family "Eukaryotic large subunit ribosomal RNA", at positions 35 to 1346 of the family's 3401-position model. Lineage: Eukaryota; Fungi; Ascomycota; Sordariomycetes; Papulosaceae. The record is from RNAcentral.
UAAGCAUAUCAAUAAGCGGAGGAAAAGAAACCAACAGGGAUUGCCCCAGUAACGGCGAGUGAAGCGGCAACAGCUCAAAUUUGAAAUCUGGCCUUCCAGCCCGAAUUGUAAUUUGUAGAGGAUGCUUUUGGUGCGGUGCCUUCUGAGUUCCCUGGAACGGGACGCCAUAGAGGGUGAGAGCCCCGUAUAGUCGGACACCAAGCCUCUGUAAAGCUCCUUCGACGAGUCGAGUAGUUUGGGAAUGCUGCUCAAAAUGGGAGGUAAAUCUCUUCUAAAGCUAAAUACCGGCUAGAGACCGAUAGCGCACAAGUAGAGUGAUCGAAAGAUGAAAAGCACUUUGAAAAGAGGGUUAAACAGCACGUGAAAUUGUUGAAAGGGAAGCGCUUGUGACCAGACUUGUGCCCGGUGAAUCAUCCAGCGUUCUCGCUGGUGCACUUUGCCGGGUUCAGGCCAGCAUCGGUUCUCGCAGGGGGAUAAAAGCCUUGGGAAUGUAGCUCCCUCGGGAGUGUUAUAGCCCGUUGCAUAAUACCCUUGUGGGGACCGAGGUUCGCGCUCCGCAAGGAUGCUGGCGUAAUGGUCAUCAGCGACCCGUCUUGAAACACGGACCAAGGAGUCAAGCAUUAGGGCGAGUGUUUGGGUGUAAAACCCGCACGCGUAAUGAAAGUGAAUGUAGGUGAGAGCUUCGGCGCAUCAUCGACCGAUCCUGAUGUAUUCGGAUGGAUUUGAGUAAGAGCCUUACCGCUUGGACCCGAAAGAUGGUGAACUAUGCUUGAAUAGGGUGAAGCCAGAGGAAACUCUGGUGGAGGCUCGCAGCGGUUCUGACGUGCAAAUCGAUCGUCAAAUUUGAGCAUGGGGGCGAAAGACUAAUCGAACCAUUGUAAUUAUAGUGGGUAACCAGUAAAACUACUAGGUGGUUAAGAGGCCGCUGAGGCGAGCCUAGUUCCAGGCGGGAGCAACACUACCAAAUUGCGGGAACCUCCUGUUCGAGGCCUAAGCUACCGCUGCUGUAUUGAAAAAUACAGUGUGCACACAGGUUAAUUGCCUGUGGGAUGGUUAUAACGCUUAAGGCUAGGGACAACCUGCAGCCAACUCCUACAGCACUGCUAAGGAGUCAGUUCACUGACUAAACGGUAGUGGGUUCAGCAUAUGCUGAGCUUAAGACAUAGUCGAAACCCCCUAGAAAUACGGGUUGAAAUGGGGUCGUUGAAAUUCGAUGACUCCAUUUUCAAAGCUAGUAGCUGGUUACCGCCGAAGUUUCCCUCAGGAUAGCAGUGUUGUUUUCAGUUUUAUGAGGUAAAGCGAAUGAUUAGGGACUCGGGGGCGCUAUUUAGCCUUCAUCCAUUCUCAAACUUUAAAUAUGUAAGAAGCCCUUGUUACUUCAUUGAACGUGGGCAUUCGAAUGUAUCAACACUAGUGGGCCAUUUUUGGUAAGCAGAACUGGCGAUGCGGGAUGAACCGAACGCGGGGGUAAGGUGCCAGAGUGGACGCUCAUCAGACACCACAAAAGGCGUUAGUACAUCUUGACAGCCGGACGGUGGCCAUGGAAGUCGGAAUCCGCUAAGGACUGUGUAACAACUCACCGGCCGAAUGUACUAGCCCUGAAAAUGGAUGGCGCUCAAGCGUCCCACCCAUC